GAGCUUGGACCAUCCCUAGCUCAGAGGUUAGGGGUUGUCUCUUGGUGACCUACAUGAAAAAAUAGGUCCAGAUCAGAGUUCCUGAUGCAGAGCACUCAUCCACUCUUUCAAUCGUUGGAGGAGAGGCCUGGUUUUAGGUAAACCUAACCUCUUUGAGGAACCACAGAGCCCAAGACUGGAAACCUUCAGAAUCUGCUGGCCCCCAACCCUCCCUGGGGACCCCUGUGGCCUGUCUCACCAGAGCACUCUUCUGUCUGUAGAUGUCUCAGCGGCUCUACAAGGGAGUCCCAUUUCAGGUGUGGGGCUGGGCAUGGUCACUCCUGCUGGAUGUCUAGAAGAUGGAAACUAAGGACCUAGGAAAAUGCCAGAUACAGCCUUUCCACCCUCAUCCAGAGCAGGACAAACAGGCCAGGUGGUGUCAGGAGCCCAGGUCUCCAGCUGGAGGGAACGUCAACCCUGCAGUGGGAGCAGGGGCCCAUCGCACAUCCUAGGCACAGAUGCUAAUGUAGGCACUGCAGCCUUACCCUGUAGGAAUUCUAGUGACUAUGUUGCCACCAUCUUGGAGCUCCAUGCCCUCAUAGUGUAAUGGCACCAGCAGAUCUGCCUGUGCAUGGACUUCCUGUACUACCUCACUCCUGAGGGGAGAUGUUUCUGCAGGGCCUAUGACCUGGUGCACAACUUUAGACACCAUCAUCCUGGAGCAGCACUGCACCCUCACUAGCCAGAGUGUUGACAUCCUCAAGGCCAGGGCCACAUUCAAGACUUUGGACUUCAUUGAUGCACUUGUGCUGAGCAAGCUUAUCUGAUCUCCUGGGAUCUCUACUAGGAUGCUGGCAGCCCAGCCAGCUGGUCUGGCCCUGGACGUGCCUUCAGGUGCUGGUUAUGCUUUAUGACCUGUGUUGUGAUCCUGGUCAGAGUAAAACAUUCCAUGGGAACUCGGGCUGUGAGAAACAUCCUAACCACCUGACUGCAGAAACAUCCUUAUCACAUCCUGCUGGGCAAGGGCCCAACAGCCUGACUUCAGGAACAUCCUUAUCAUCUUCUACUGAGCAGCAAGCUAUACUGUCCAGAGCCCUCCCUCCCAGCCCCAUGAUUACCCCAGCCUGUAAGUGGCAGUGGGCGCUGACACUAAGCUGGUUUCCCCCUCCGCAGGGUUUUGCUAGUAAUAAACCUGUGUUGCUGUUGAA
Molecule: long non-coding RNA, 1187 nt
Organism: Homo sapiens (human)
Lineage: Eukaryota; Metazoa; Chordata; Mammalia; Primates; Hominidae
Gene: CYP4F26P
Product: cytochrome P450 family 4 subfamily F member 26, pseudogene
Source: Ensembl